UCCACACUGGGACUGAGACACGGCCCAGACUCCUACGGGAGGCAGCAGUAGGGAAUCUUCCGCAAUGGACGAAAGUCUGACGGAGCAACGCCGCGUGAGUGAUGAAGGUUUUCGGAUCGUAAAACUCUGUUGUUAGGGAAGAACAAGUACGAGAGUAACUGCUCGUACCUUGACGGUACCUAACCAGAAAGCCACGGCUAACUACGUGCCAGCAGCCGCGGUAAUACUG
This 229-nucleotide ribosomal RNA is filed under the name Niallia nealsonii. RNAcentral's name for it is "Bacillus nealsonii partial 16S ribosomal RNA". It matches the Rfam family "Bacterial small subunit ribosomal RNA", at positions 307 to 528 of the family's 1533-position model. Lineage: Bacteria; Bacillati; Bacillota; Bacilli; Caryophanales; Bacillaceae. The record is from RNAcentral.